UGAAGAGCUCCACCUCCUUGUCCUCAGAAUUAAUGUUUUGGUAGGAACAAAAGUUUACAUCGUAUGUUUCUCUGGGAUCAGCCAGCGCGAAGGACGUCUAUUUUCCAACUGGC
Etheostoma cragini (Arkansas darter) is the source of this 113-nucleotide long non-coding RNA. RefSeq lists it as uncharacterized. The transcript has 3 exons. The record is from RefSeq and is a predicted model, not a curated record. Lineage: Eukaryota; Metazoa; Chordata; Actinopteri; Perciformes; Percidae.